Molecule: ribosomal RNA, 411 nt
Filed under: uncultured bacterium
Lineage: Bacteria
Description: partial 16S ribosomal RNA
Rfam family: Bacterial small subunit ribosomal RNA
Source: RNAcentral
UAUUGUGCAAUGGAGGGAACUCUGACGCAGCGACGCCGCGUGAGCGAUGAAGGCCUUCGGACCGUAAAGCUCUGUUCUUGGGGAAGAAGGGAGCCGUAAGGCUUCUUGACGGUACACAUGGAGGAAGCUCCGGCCAAGCACGUGCCAUCAGCCGCGGUAAUACGUAGGGAGCAAGCGUUGUGCGGAAUUAUGGGGCGUAAAGUGUGCGUAGGCUGCCCUUUAAGUCAGAUGUGAAAGCCCACGGCUUAACCGUGGGACUGCAUUUGAAACUGGAGGGCUUGAGUGUCGGAGAGGGCAGUGGAAUUCCCAGUGUAGCGGUGGAAUGCGUAGAUAUUGGGAGGAACACCAGUGGCGAAGGCGACUGCCUGGACGAUAACUGACGCUGAGGCACGAAAGCUAGGGGAGCAAACA